ACACAGCUGUGUAUUAUUGUGCCAGAGAAUCACAGUGACAGACGCAAACAGCCUCCCUGUACAAAAACAUCAUCAUAUUCACAUUAGGUAUUUAUGUGCUUCUGAUUGGAUCUGGAGCGUCACAUCACCACUUUCAAGAUGAAGAGUUCACUCUGCUUACUGCUGCUCUCAUUCAGCGUACACCGUUUAAAAUGUCAAAGUAUGGAGUCCAUUGAAAGCACAGUUGAGAAAAAGCCUGGAGAAACUCUGACUCUGUCCUGUAGAGGAUCCGGGUUCAGCUUUAGCUGCUGUAGCAUGCACUGGAUCAGACAACAAGCUGGAAAACCUCUCGUGUGGAUUGGUCGUGUUUAUAGUAAUGGUAACAGCCAUGACUAUGCUGAAGCCUUCAACAGACGAACUGAAAUCACCAGAGAUAAUUCAAAGAAUAUGGUAUAUCUGAAACUGUCGGGCCUGACAACAGAAGACUCAGCCACAUAUUACUGCGCAAAACAAACACAGUGACACAAAGUUCUUGAACGGCUGAACAAAAACCACUUGAGUGUUUCAUCUCUUGUCACUAGAGUUCAACAGGUGGCAGCAGAGAAUAAAAAAUCCACAAAAUACAGUCCAAUGAGAAGAUAUACCAUCUGUCACAUCAUUAUUAAAGCCUAUUAUAUUACUGUUAAAUUUAUAACACA
Molecule: non-coding RNA, 677 nt
Organism: Megalobrama amblycephala (Wuchang bream)
Lineage: Eukaryota; Metazoa; Chordata; Actinopteri; Cypriniformes; Xenocyprididae
Source: the annotation of a RefSeq genome assembly